CAGCAGCCGCGGGAAUACGAGGGGGGCAAGCGUUGUUCGGAAUUAUUGGGCGUAAAGGGUGCGUAGGCGGUUUGAUAAGUCUUGUGUGAAAUCUCUGGGCUCAACCCAGAGUCUGCACAGGAAACUGUCGGGCUUGAGUAUUGGAGAGGUGAGUGGAAUUUCCGGUGUAGCGGUGAAAUGCGUAGAUAUCGGAAGGAACACCUGUGGCGAAAGCGGCUCACUGGACAAUUACUGACGCUGAUGCACGAAAGCUAGGGGAGCAAACAGGAUUAGAUACCCCGGUAGUCCCUGUCUCUUAUAU
Molecule: ribosomal RNA, 301 nt
Filed under: uncultured bacterium
Lineage: Bacteria
Description: partial 16S ribosomal RNA
Rfam family: Bacterial small subunit ribosomal RNA
Source: RNAcentral